GGCAGACGGGUGAGUAACGCGUGGGAACAUACCCUUCGGUACGGAACAACUUGGGGAAACUCGAGCUAAUACCGUAUACGGCCCAUGGGCGAAAGAUUGAUCGCCGAAGGAUUGGCCCGCGUCCGAUUAGCUAGUUGGUGGGGUAAUGGCUCACCAAGGCGACGAUCGGUAGCUGGUCUGAGAGGAUGACCAGCCACAUUGGGACUGAGACACGGCCCAAACUCCUACGGGAGGCAGCAGUGGGGAAUAUUGGACAAUGGGCGCAAGCCUGAUCCAGCCAUGCCGCGUGAGUGAUGAAGGCCUUAGGGUUGUAAAGCUCUUUCGCACGCGACGAUAAUGACGGUAGCGUGAGAAGAAGCCCCGGCUAACUUCGUGCCAGCAGCCGCGGUAAUACGAAGGGGGCUAGCGUUGUUCGGAUUUACUGGGCGUAAAGGGCGCGUAGGCGGAUUGGUCAGUCAGGGGUGAAAUGCCGAGGCUCAACCUCGGAACUGCCUUUGAUACUGCCGGUCUGGAGUCCGGGAGAGGUGAGUGGAACUGCGAGUGUAGAGGUGAAAUUCGUAGAUAUUCGCAAGAACACCAGUGGCGAAGGCGGCUCACUGGCCCGGAACUGACGCUGAGGCGCGAAAGCGUGGGGAGCAAACAGGAUUA
Molecule: ribosomal RNA, 648 nt
Filed under: uncultured bacterium
Lineage: Bacteria
Description: bacterial SSU rRNA
Rfam family: Bacterial small subunit ribosomal RNA
Source: RNAcentral